Molecule: long non-coding RNA, 297 nt
Filed under: Phoenix dactylifera (date palm)
Lineage: Eukaryota; Viridiplantae; Streptophyta; Magnoliopsida; Arecales; Arecaceae
Description: long non-coding RNA (PDAC_LNC004301)
Source: RNAcentral
UGGGGGAGCCCAAUAAAUGAGUUAAAGAAAUGAGAGGACGUACCGUUCACCAGAAUGGAAUAGGAGGGACCCCCCACACAGCCCAUGAUCCAUCUGAUCCAUAUCUCGUGGAAACCGAAACUUUGAAGAGAGAACCGAAUAAAAUCCCAACACAUUCUGUCAUAUGCCUUCUCCAUAUCAAGCUGGACCCCCAUAAGGCAUCUCUUUAUCGGAGCCCUGAUGAGACCAAACAUAAACUCCUGGGCGAUUAGGUCGUUGUCAGAUAUGCUCCUCCCCCCCUAUAAAAGCACCCUGCUC